Molecule: long non-coding RNA, 819 nt
Organism: Xenopus tropicalis (tropical clawed frog)
Lineage: Eukaryota; Metazoa; Chordata; Amphibia; Anura; Pipidae
Exons: 4
Source: RefSeq, a predicted model, not a curated record
GCCAAUAAGAAGGGUCGCUUUAAUGACUGAUAACUCUGUAUGCAAUAGGAACAAGGGAAUAAAGCAAGUGGGCGUGGCGAGGCAAUCCAGCGGCCGGGGCACGGUGGUCCUGAUGGGAGCAUGUUAUCGCUUGGCCGUGCCUUCCUGUGGCGGGGAGAGGCGCGCUACUGAGUCUGGCGACUCACGGACUCGUUAUCCUACAUUUACAUAAGUGUUUAUAUUCCGACUGCGCUCUCGUGCCUUAAAUCAGGCAACCCAUUCACAAUAAAGCUGGACACAGGCCAACAUUAACCAACAUUUCAGCCACUCCAGAAUGUGAAGGUUAGCCUAUCCAGAAUGAUGUGCAUGUGUAACACGUGUACCUGUUAAUUCCACCCCCCAGGCGAAUCCAGUCACUAAGGACGAAGACAGAUGGGGAGUUUUGCCGCCCGUGUGAAAUCUCUUUUUCUGCAGGUAGAAAAUACCUGCCCUCCCAGAUCUGUUGGAAUUACUUCAUCUAAAUCACUUCCAGUGAUCUCAGCAAUAACAUCUGAUGUUGCACACGCGGGUGCCAUGCCUGUGCCAGCCUUCCUCACUCCAGUUCCCAGAGGACUUCUGGUAGUUAUCUGCUUUGCGGCAGGUGUGAUCUAAUUCCCAUAUAGCCAGCUGUGCCAUGUUCUGCAGGGAUAACCUUAAAUCCUGGUUUGUUGACCUGAUUAGUAGUUCCAGAGGACACAGGCACUGAUUCACCUCCUUACAGAAUGUGUUAGUUUUACUCUUCAUGUCUCCUUGUUACCCCUGAAAGGUGACUUGAGCAAUAAAAAUCAAUUUAAUACCAGA